GUUUGGGCGACGGACUUCAAAUCCGGCUCUAGCGUAA
RNAcentral lists this transfer RNA (37 nucleotides) under Azadinium spinosum. Its description in RNAcentral is "partial Selenocysteine transfer RNA". Lineage: Eukaryota; Dinophyceae; Gonyaulacales; Amphidomataceae. The record is from RNAcentral.